Molecule: non-coding RNA, 24 nt
Filed under: Xenopus tropicalis (tropical clawed frog)
Lineage: Eukaryota; Metazoa; Chordata; Amphibia; Anura; Pipidae
Also listed under: 3 other names
Source: RNAcentral
UAGUGGUUAGGAUUCGGCGCUCUC